UACGUAGGGUGCGAGCGUUACUCGGAAUUACUGGGCGUAAAGCGUGCGCAGGCGGUUCGUUGUGUCGGCGGUGAAAGCCCCGGGCUUAACCUGGGAAUGGCCGUCGAAACUGGCGAACUGGAGUGUGGCAGAGGGGGGUGGAAUUCCGCGUGUAGCAGUGAAAUGCGUAGAGAUGCGGAGGAACACCGAUGGCGAAGGCAAUCCCCUGGGCCUGCACUGACGCUCAUGCACGAAAGCGUGGGGAGCAAACAGG
Molecule: ribosomal RNA, 253 nt
Filed under: uncultured bacterium
Lineage: Bacteria
Description: partial 16S ribosomal RNA
Rfam family: Bacterial small subunit ribosomal RNA
Source: RNAcentral